UUUUUUUUUGUGAUUUUGUUGUCUGCACAUUCAACUAUGUAAAGAACAAAGUAUGUCAGAAAAAUAUUUAAUUCAUUCCGAUGUAGGAUGUGCUAUUUUUGUGUUCCCUUUAUUUUUUUGAGCAGUGUAUAUACAUACACUCACACACAUGCUGUUGUGUGUGUGGGGGUGCAGUAUGUGUGUGUGUGAGGGUGCUGUGUAAG
This is a non-coding RNA of Pelobates cultripes (western spadefoot toad), 203 nucleotides long. NCBI's taxonomy places the organism in Eukaryota, Metazoa, Chordata, Amphibia, Anura, Pelobatidae. The record is from the annotation of a GenBank genome assembly.